GUGCCACACUCACUUCAGUAACACAUGUACUAAAAUUGAAUGAUACAGAGAAGAUUAGAAUGGCCCCUGCACCUCCAUGACAUGCAAAUUUGUGAAGCAUUCUGUAUUUUU
This is a small nuclear RNA of Cynocephalus volans (Philippine flying lemur), 111 nucleotides long. The record is from RefSeq and is a predicted model, not a curated record. Lineage: Eukaryota; Metazoa; Chordata; Mammalia; Dermoptera; Cynocephalidae.